This 262-nucleotide ribosomal RNA is filed under the name uncultured bacterium. Its description in RNAcentral is "partial 16S ribosomal RNA". It matches the Rfam family "Bacterial small subunit ribosomal RNA", at positions 793 to 1055 of the family's 1533-position model. The record is from RNAcentral.
GUCCACGCCGUAAACGAUGGGUGCUAGGUGUGGGGGGUGUCGACUCCCCCCGUGCCGAAGCUAACGCAUUAAGCACCCCGCCUGGGGAGUACGGCCGCAAGGCUAAAACUCAAAGGAAUUGACGGGGCCCGCACAAGCAGCGGAGCAUGUGGUUUAAUUCGACGCAACGCGAAGAACCUUACCAAGGCUUGACAUGAUCGAGAAAGCCGUAGAAAUACGGCCCUCCUUCGGGACUCGACCACAGGUGGUGCAUGGCUGUCGU